This 279-nucleotide unclassified non-coding RNA is filed under the name Clostridioides difficile. RNAcentral's name for it is "16S-23S ribosomal RNA intergenic spacer (ISR)". The record is from RNAcentral. Lineage: Bacteria; Bacillati; Bacillota; Clostridia; Peptostreptococcales; Peptostreptococcaceae.
ACCUACUGUUUAAUUUUGAGGGUUCGUUUUUACGAAUACUCAAAAAUAGCACUUUAAGCAACGGGAUUUAUCCGUUGGCGCUGUGCAUUAGCACUUUAAGCAACAGAAUAAACUGAACGCAUCUGAAGUUUGUUUGUUGGCGCUGUGCGUUAGCACUUUGAAAACUGCAUAUAUAUAUUUAGUGAUAUGACAUCUAAUUUGUAAUAUAUAAAGCUGAUAACUUUUUAAAAUUAUCGAAGUUGAUAGCUUCUAAUCUAUCAAACCUUUUUAACUGGUCAA